GACCUGAGAACUUACCUUGUUGUGGGGGUC
This 30-nucleotide non-coding RNA is filed under the name Rattus norvegicus (Norway rat). The record is from RNAcentral. Lineage: Eukaryota; Metazoa; Chordata; Mammalia; Rodentia; Muridae.